This 261-nucleotide ribosomal RNA is filed under the name uncultured bacterium. RNAcentral describes it as "partial 16S ribosomal RNA". It matches the Rfam family "Bacterial small subunit ribosomal RNA", at positions 92 to 354 of the family's 1533-position model. The record is from RNAcentral.
UUAGUGGCGGACGGGUGAGUAACGCGUGGAAAACCUGCCGUAUACUGGGGAUAACACUUAGAAAUAGGUGCUAAUACCGCAUAAGCGCACAGCUUCGCAUGAAGCGGUGUGAAAAACUCUGGUGGUAUACGAUGGUUCCGCGUCUGAUUAGCUAGUUGGUGGGGUAAUGGCCUACCAAGGCAACGAUCAGUAGCCGGCCUGAGAGGGUGAACGGCCACAUUGGGACUGAGACACGGCCCAAACUCCUACGGGAGGCAGCAG